This 396-nucleotide ribosomal RNA is filed under the name uncultured bacterium. RNAcentral's name for it is "bacterial SSU rRNA". It matches the Rfam family "Bacterial small subunit ribosomal RNA", at positions 29 to 424 of the family's 1533-position model. The record is from RNAcentral.
AUUGAACGCUGGCGGCGUGCCUAACACAUGCAAGUCGAGCGGUAACAGGUGUAGCAAUACAUGCUGACGAGCGGCGGACGGGUGAGUAACGCUUGGGAAUCUGCCUAUUAGUGGGGGACAACCCGGGGAAACUCGGGCUAAUACCGCAUACGCUCUACGGAGGAAAGCCGGGGACCGCAAGGCCUGGCGUUAAUAGAUGAGCCCAAGUCGGAUUAGCUAGUUGGUAGGGUAAUGGCCUACCAAGGCGACGAUCCGUAACUGGUCUGAGAGGACGACCAGUCACACCGGAACUGAGACACGGUCCGGACUCCUACGGGAGGCAGCAGUGGGGAAUAUUGGACAAUGGGCGAAAGCCUGAUCCAGCGACGCCGCGUGGGUGAAGAAGGCCUGCGGGUU